GACGAACGCUGGCGGCGUGCUUAACACAUGCAAGUCGAACGGAAAGGCCCUGCUUUUGUGCGGUGCUCGAGUGGCGAACGGGUGAGUAACACGUGAGUAACCUGCCCUUGACUUUGGGAUAACUUCAGGAAACUGGGGCUAAUACCGGAUAGGAGCUCCUGCUUCAUGGUGGGGGUUGGAAAGUUUCGGCGGUUGGGGCUGUACUCGCGGCUUAUCAGCUUGUUGGUGGGGUAGUGGCUUACCAAGGCUUUGACGGGUAGCCUGCCUGAGAGGGUGACCGGGCACAUUGGAUCUGAGGUACGGAGCAGACUCCUACGUGAGGCAGUAGUGGGGAAUAUUGCACGAUGAGCGGAAGCCUGAUGCAGCAACGUCGCGUGCGGGAUGACGGCAUUCGGGUUGUAAACCGCUUUCGCCUGUGACGAAGCGUGAGUGACGGUAAUGGGUAAAGAAGCAACGGCUAACUACGUG
Molecule: ribosomal RNA, 468 nt
Filed under: uncultured bacterium
Lineage: Bacteria
Description: partial 16S ribosomal RNA
Rfam family: Bacterial small subunit ribosomal RNA
Source: RNAcentral